RNAcentral lists this ribosomal RNA (254 nucleotides) under uncultured bacterium. RNAcentral's name for it is "partial 16S ribosomal RNA". It matches the Rfam family "Bacterial small subunit ribosomal RNA", at positions 524 to 776 of the family's 1533-position model. The record is from RNAcentral.
UACGGGGGGAGCAAGCGUUGCUCGGAUUUACUGGGCGUAAAGGGCGCGUAGGCGGUCGUGACAGGUCACUUGUGAAAUCUCCGGGCUUAACUCGGAACGGUCAAGUGAUACUGUCGGACUAGAGUACAGAAGGGGCAACUGGAAUUCUCGGUGUAGCGGUGAAAUGCGUAGAUAUCGAGAGGAACACCUGCGGCGAAGGCGGGUUGCUGGGCUGAUACUGACGCUGAGGCGCGAAAGCCAGGGGAGCGAACGGG